This 301-nucleotide ribosomal RNA is filed under the name uncultured bacterium. Its description in RNAcentral is "partial 16S ribosomal RNA". It matches the Rfam family "Bacterial small subunit ribosomal RNA", at positions 509 to 807 of the family's 1533-position model. The record is from RNAcentral.
CAGCCGCCGCGGGAAUACGGAGGGAGCUAGCGUUGUUCGGAAUUACUGGGCGUAAAGCGCGCGUAGGCGGUUACUCAAGUCAGAGGUGAAAGCCCGGGGCUCAACCCCGGAACUGCCUUUGAAACUAGGUGACUAGAAUCUUGGAGAGGUCAGUGGAAUUCCGAGUGUAGAGGUGAAAUUCGUAGAUAUUCGGAAGAACACCAGUGGCGAAGGCGACUGACUGGACAAGUAUUGACGCUGAGGUGCGAAAGCGUGGGGAGCAAACAGGAUUAGAUACCCGUGUAGUCCCUGUCUCUUAUAC